Molecule: ribosomal RNA, 253 nt
Filed under: uncultured bacterium
Lineage: Bacteria
Description: partial 16S ribosomal RNA
Rfam family: Bacterial small subunit ribosomal RNA
Source: RNAcentral
UACAGAGGGUGCUAGCGUUAAUCGGAAUUACUGGGCGUAAAGCGCACGUAGGUGGUAAUGUAAGUCAGAUGUGAAAUCCCCGGGCUUAACCUGGGAACUGCAUUUGAAACUGUAUAACUAGAGUAGGGUAGAGGAGAGGGGAAUUUCCGGUGUAGCGGUGAAAUGCGUAGAUAUCGGAAGGAACACCAGUGGCGAAGGCGCCUCUCUGGAUUCAUACUGACACUGAGGUGCGAAAGCGUGGGGAGCAAACAGG